GAUUCAGUAGCUCAGCUGGUAGAGCACAUCCCUUUUAAGGAUGGGGUCCUGGGUUCGAAACCCAGCUGGAUCA
This 73-nucleotide transfer RNA is filed under the name Bacteroidota bacterium. RNAcentral's name for it is "Bacteroidetes bacterium (cold seep metagenome) tRNA-Lys". It matches the Rfam family "tRNA". From Rfam's summary of the family: Transfer RNA (tRNA) molecules are approximately 80 nucleotides in length. Their secondary structure includes four short double-helical elements and three loops (D, anti-codon, and T loops). RNAcentral also lists the same sequence under 1 other name. The record is from RNAcentral. Lineage: Bacteria; Pseudomonadati; Bacteroidota.